GACCUGCCUCCCAAUUUUCGGUGAGUGGUGUAGCCCUGGGCGGCGUGCAAAGUGUGCGACGGCGGCGCUUACCCCUGCUGUGCGCCUCCUUACCUCCAGCCACCCACCCCGCCCUCCCAGCGGCGCGCGCCCGCUGAGGUAGGUGUCAGAGAGCCGAAUUCGAAUUAUUUGCGACGUCCGGACGGAGUUUCGUAUCUUCGGACGAGAAAAGUGCGAUGGGAGUGCAAAGCUAGCCCUGCUCGAAGCAGCAGGCGCGUCGGUGUCACGGGAGCCGAGGAGCGGUGGCCGUGGCUGUGGAGUCGGUGCUCGAGGCGUCCUCCCAGGUGGGAGAGGUGGCGGCCUUGCCUGGGCGCCCUGGGGGCUCUGGAACAGAGGGAAAAGUAGUUUACGGAACGUGAACUUGUUUGAGGGUUCUUUCAAAACUCUCAAGUGUCCCGCCGCACACUAGGAUAUAGCAGUGCACGGGAUUAGGAGCAGGGUUACUAAAUUUUCAACCAGUUGACCCCAGCCCGCCUUUCCUGGGACCUUGGUUAGGUCAUCUGCUGCCACCGUGGUGUCUGCUGGGAUACGGUUUAUUCAUUCAAUAAAUGUUUGGUGCCUGCGAGUUCCGCGGCUCACCAUGUGCCCAGGUGAGCCGAGGCGGCCAGGUAGUCAGGCUAAGACGUGAGCAGUGUCUUGGAUGGGACACAGGCCUACGUCCCGGAAAGCCCAGAUAUGCAAAGUCCACAAACUGUCUUCCAACUUUUUCUUUGACUUCUUAACAGAGCCCAUGAAACUUAAGAUGUUUGAUGGAGAAGGAGAAAAAAGAAAAGUCUACCUAUAAAUGGAAACACAUUUAACAGUCCCCAGCGGUAUGGGGCGGCUGAUACCACCAGAGGCCUUGAGCAAACUGUUGUAUCGUUUUAAGUUAGCUUUGAAAAUAAAAAGACACUGUUAGCCAUUCAACAGGAUGACUGAAAUUCCCCCCUUUUCCCCAGUUUGCUCCACUUCGAGUAAGAAAAGGUGUGACAGAUGAAGAUGCCACAUAUUAUUUUUCUUGGCCCCUUCAGGUACACCGCUGCCCCCAUUGUACAAGGCCUCUUUUUUAUGAAUCUGAAAGGACAACAGAGGGCGAUUCAAAGUCACCAAACAACACUUGGAAUUAAGAACAGGAAGCGCAGCCUAGACACCGUCCUGCCCUGGGCUGCUGCAGACCCCUGACUUUCUUGAACUUGGCUGAAAAGUUGGGGCCAGGUUUUUGUCACACUCCUGAUCAUGGAUGGCCUCUCUUCCACACAAAAAUACACCUUAUUUUGAAAAUGCUCAAAGGAACUAUCCUAGGUUGAUGCUUUUCACCUAACCAAAGAUGCAUAAAAAUAUUGUGCAGAUACACCUGAAUGUGCUCAUAGGAAAACUCAGCAGUAAGGCCUCAGAAUCGAUGAUUCCUAGGCUGCCUGUAAUAGUGAUAGUGAGGCUCACUACCAUCCACCACCUAAAUUAGAACCGCUUGAUGACACAGCACAGGUUCUAUAUCUUUAGAUGGUAAAUUAAAAAUUCCUGGCUGAAUUUGAUUGAUUGUCAUUUUUAAAAAUUGUUAAAGACUUGUAAGAGGGAAGAAUAGGCCAGACAUUUUUGUUAUGCUCCAUUUGUUCAAAAGCAUCUUCCUUCCUGCUUCUACUGUGGCAAAGCACAGAUACAUUGUCUUUAAGAGGUACAAGGUAAAUAGUAACAAAUACAACCUAGAUACUUAUGCCAGGAGGUACAAAGUUAUACAAUGAAUAUAAUGAAGAGCCUCCUUAUUUGGAAAUCUCUGAGCUCCAUUACCACCUUCCCCUUUUAGAUAAACAUCACACCUGAACUUUAAAAGGAGUGAAACUGCCCCAUGUCAUAUACUAACAUGCGUCCUAGGCAAGGCACAAUUGGGACUAUUGUCCUAGAAAUGGGUAACGCAAGAUCAGGCUUUACUCCUUUCAGCUCUCAAUCUAUGAGGCCACUCUUGAAAACAAAAAUUUUUUAAGUGUAGGUUUCACCUAUAUUUUAUUAUGACUAACUGCUGAUGGAUAAAUAAAGCAUUUACUUUGUAAAUAAAUGACAGCAGGUGGAAUCAUGGGUUUACAGGUAAGCAAAUGACACCCAGAGUGCUGAAACACAAGCUGGUUUGUGGUCAGCUAGGCUGUCUGUUUUCACUCCACACAAAGUGAAAGAAGAGAUUUUACUGAGUUUUUGGCCUCAAAUUUGACCUCUUGAGGCCCUAAAAGUUGUGAUUUUUUUUUUCAAGUCUUUCAGAUUUGGAGGCUACCAUGUGUGACCUUUUCAUAUGAGUUAGUAAUUUAAUUGAUCAUUACUGUUUUGAGUACCUAGUUUAUGCUUUGAAAGCGGGGCAAUCUAUUGGCAUAACUCUUGGAACAGUCCAGAUGAGAGAGCUUUCCAAUGGAAGGGGCCUCUCGUCUGGCUCAGGAAGAGAAGGGAGUUAUGGAGAUUUCAGGGAGGGACAAAGGGCAGAAUAUCUUGGGUAUAAAAUGCCCAAGGAAAGCACAGAUCUCUGGCUCAGGAGACUUGCUUCAUGCCCAAGCCAGCCAGCUGAGAUCAUAACACAUCCCUAACCUAAAACACUAGGUCACCUAACGAAAAAACUUGUUUAAACAGAUGGUGUCACACACUACAUGGAGAUACGGCCUCGAAACAUUUCUUUCCAACAUUCCAUAUUUGACAACAAUGAACAACGUCCCACAUCAGAGUUUGAAUUCUGUGGUCUUGUCAGCUUCGUGGUGAUAAAGGCAGUUUGUGUUCCUUGGCCCCUGGGUAUCCUCCUUUCUGAGUAAGAAUGCCUUGUCUACCUUUUGAAGCAGUGGACUUGCUACAGCUUAGAAUCUUGAAAAUACUGUUCUGCUUAAUGCUGUCACUCAGUUUUUGGACAAGAAUGUUAUCCUUGGCCUUUCAUUAGUUGGGGUCAUUUUAAGUUGUCUUCCAAGAGCCCAGAGCAAAUAUAAUUAUAAUAUUAAUUUAAUAGCCUAGGAAACAAUAAAUAGGUUUCCACUGAAACAGAAACUUUAGCUGUAAGGUUUUAAUAAUAGUAUUUAGCACUUCCACAGUGUUUCCUGUCUUCAAAGCACGUUCUGCAGUUUAAUUAGCUAGAAUGACUGAAACUGCUAUUGCAAAUGAAUGUCAAAGCCUAUGUCAUGUAGAUGAUGAAAGCAGGAAUUGUAAAAAGCAUUUCCUAGUCCCAGUUAAUCCUUGUAAGAAGGCUCUAUUACUUUAGACCAUAAAAGUUCUUGGAAAUCGAAUGUAGUGAUUAUCUAGGACAUUUUUUUUUCUUGUCAUAUUCACUAGUUAGUAACUCCAACCAUAAAGUAACCCUAAACUUGUAUUCAAAACUAAACAUGAUAUAAAACUUCACUUAAGACUUGAAGUCAAUUACUGAAGAAUUAACUACAUGGCCAUAUGACAUUUUCCUAUUUAUUAUCCAUCAACUCAUUUUAAAAUGAUCUGUUUUUAAUUCAGAACAUACUUUAAUUCAAACAGAAUGUGGACGUACAUUGGCCAGUGUGUUUGGACCCAAUUUCUUGAGCCAGUGGUUUUGAGAUGCUGUUCAAACAUCUACUUAAAAGCAUGGCACAUAAUAUGAGGGCAAAGAGGACGUUUUGCAGCCCUUCUUGAUCUUUCCUGACUCUCUGAUGGGGAGGCACCAUCUGUGAGAGAGGCUUCCUGGUCACUGUGGACAGACCCCCAAUUCCCCAGGCCAUCAGUGCCUUUCUCACGACAUCCCCAUGAGCCCCAGCGUGGGCAGGAAUGGACUUUUAACAAAACCACCAUCUACCUCAAGAAGGGGGAAGCUAACAAAAAGAGAUGACAUGUAUUACUUUGUUCCUGUUAGAAGCCUAAAUGAUAUGAUGCACAUGUUACCCUUCAUUGGAGAUUCUAGGUGGACAAACAACUUGGAUAUCAACAGGGAGCAGAAAACAAACCCACUAGCAGGACCAAAAGGCAGACCCAUCAGCAGAACACAGGCGGUAGCUUCCACAAUUAACUCCAAAACUGAAAGUCAAAUCCAGGAGAAGACUGAGGAAGCUCCAUUUUCUUUGAGCACUUAAUUGUAAAUUAAGAUUUGCUGAUGAUGAUGGGCUAAUUUAAGCUACCGUGGAAAGAGGAAAGAAAUGGAAGCUGCUGAUCGUAGGAAGCAGUACCUGUACUGCGCAGGGUUGCAGUGACCUAACACCAAGAAAUAAAAACUCUGGAAAACUAGCCCUUCACAUAUGGAAGGACCCUCCCAAAGAGCUGGAGCUCCUCUGCCCACAGCCUCCCCCAUCAGAUCAGACCUACGGUAGAAGACAGCAAGGAGUAAACGCUGUUUCCUGUUUUCAUUUUUUUCAACUGGACCACCAGCUACUACAACUCUAGAAAAAUGGAGGCACAGAUAUGUGGGUCCCGGAGCCCUAGGGGAGCUGGAAUGGAUACUUGCUAACACACGGGACACGAGAUUCUCUUUCCUUUGGAAGGGUCCUGUCAUGGCCCUUCUUGGGUUCUGGACUGUCCUACAAUGCCUGACUUUAGUUUCUGUGGAUCAUGAUAAGCAUUAUUCAUUUUUCCCCCUCAAAUAUCUCACAGCUUCAAACUUACCUGAAUGCAGGUUCCCUGUAAAAAUACCAUCAUGUAAUUUGCACAUUAGCAAUCAGUUUGAUGAAUGGCAAAAUCGUUCAAAUGGAAAAGA
This is a long non-coding RNA of Gorilla gorilla gorilla (western lowland gorilla), 4687 nucleotides long. RefSeq lists it as uncharacterized. Lineage: Eukaryota; Metazoa; Chordata; Mammalia; Primates; Hominidae. The record is from RefSeq and is a predicted model, not a curated record. The transcript is spliced from 5 exons.